This 497-nucleotide ribosomal RNA is filed under the name uncultured bacterium. RNAcentral describes it as "partial 16S ribosomal RNA". It matches the Rfam family "Bacterial small subunit ribosomal RNA", at positions 28 to 507 of the family's 1533-position model. The record is from RNAcentral.
GAUGAACGCUGGCGGCGUGCCUAAUACAUGCAAGUCGAGCGAACAGAUGAGGAGCUUGCUCCUCUGACGUUAGCGGCGGACGGGUGAGUAACACGUGGAUAACCUACCUAUAAGACUGGGAUAACUUCGGGAAACCGGAGCUAAUACCGGAUAAUAUAUUGAACCGCAUGGUCCAAUAGUGAAAGGCGGUUCUGCUGUCACUUAUAGAGGGAUCUGCGCCGCAUUUGCUGGUUGGUAAGGUAACGGCUGACCAAGGCAACGAUGCGUAGCCGACCUCGGAGGCGGAUAGGCCACCCGGGAACGGAAACGGGGUCCAUACUCCUGCGGGAGGGAGCAGUCGGGAAUGUGACGCAAUGGGCGAAAGCCUGACGGAGCAACGGCGAGUGAGUGAUAAAGGUCUUCGGAGCGUAAAACUCUGUUAUGAGGGAAGAACAAAUGUGUAAGGAAAUAUGGACAUAUUGACGGUACCUGAUCAGAAAGCAACGGCUAACUACGUG